UAGGGAAUAUUGGACAAUGGGGGCAACCCUGAUCCAGCCAUGCCGCGUGAGUGAAGAAGGCCCUCGGGUUGUAAAGCUCUUUUGUCCGGAAAGAAAAGCUUCGGGUUAAUACCCCGGGGUUCUGACGGUACCGGAAGAAUAAGCACCGGCUAACUUCGUGCCAGCAGCCGCGGUAAUACGAAGGGUGCAAGCGUUACUCGGAAUUACUGGGCGUAAAGCGUGCGUAGGUGGUUGUUUAAGUCUGAUGUGAAAGCCCUGGGCUCAACCUGGGAAUGGCAUUGGAAACUGGGCAGCUAGAGUGCGGUAGAGGGUAGUGGAAUUCCCGGUGUAGCAGUGAAAUGCGUAGAGAUCGGGAGGAACAUCUGUGGCGAAGGCGGUCUCUUAGUCCGACACUGACGCUGAGGCGCGAAAGCGUGGGGAGCAAAC
RNAcentral lists this ribosomal RNA (426 nucleotides) under uncultured bacterium. Its description in RNAcentral is "bacterial SSU rRNA". It matches the Rfam family "Bacterial small subunit ribosomal RNA", at positions 355 to 773 of the family's 1533-position model. The record is from RNAcentral.